Non-coding RNA from Acidobacteria bacterium 13_1_40CM_4_58_4, 73 nucleotides. The record is from Rfam. NCBI's taxonomy places the organism in Bacteria, Pseudomonadati, Acidobacteriota.
GGGCCCGUAGCUCAGCGGUUAGAGCAGUGGACUCAUAAUCCAUUGGUCCCAGGUUCAAAUCCUGGCGGGCCCA